Long non-coding RNA from Cryptotermes secundus, 2857 nucleotides. RefSeq lists it as uncharacterized. The record is from RefSeq and is a predicted model, not a curated record. Lineage: Eukaryota; Metazoa; Arthropoda; Insecta; Blattodea; Kalotermitidae. The transcript has 3 exons.
CUGGGAAGUUCUUGAGUAACUGCAGAAUUGGCAGUUUCUCAAGAAGGGCUCAGCACCAUGAGUGAGUGAUUGAGUGACUGAAAUAUUACUUGGAUCUUUUAAGAAUUUAGAACAGUAUAUGAAGAUAAUAACUGAACAGUUUGGUAUUUGGUACAGUGAUUACAGUUAUAAAAUAUUUUUUAUGAAGUAUUUUAAGUUUCUUGCAUUUGCUGCAAACUGGGCAAUAUACUAAUACGUUUUCUGAUGAAUCAUAAUUGCUGUUGACUCUGAAAUUAGAACUAAUUAUCUAAAAGCAUUUAGGAGUCUACAGACCAGGAAUUUUCACACAUCAUUGUAUGUGUACUAUAGUGUGGUAUUUUGGGCAUAAUAUAACAAGGUGUAUGGUGCCUUGGAGAGAGAAUCUAGAAGUGUCACCUACUUCUGAGAGCUGUCUACACAUUUAUUAAGAGUGGAAAAUAGAUGCUUGAGGCAUCCAUACACGCUUCUUUAUUUUAAAUGAAAUAUAUCUAUAUAAAUGAAAAUAUAUUCUACCAAAAAUGUACAUGACUUAAAGAGGUAUAUUUGCCUUUAAAUUAUAUAAAAUUCUGUAUGUAAUGAUGAGUGGUUAACUGUGGUUUGUCCAGUGUUAAAAAUACAAUACAAGAGAAGUGUAUAUACACUUUGCUUCACCCUGAUAGCACAAAAAAUACAUUACAGUUUUUACUGGACUAACCAUGUCUGUUAUGAGAUAAGCCCAAAAAUAAAUAGGAAAGCUGUUACAUUCAUUGCACAGGGCUGUGAUGUGUAAAAGGAAAACGAUAAACACCUGCUUGUCCAAUAUCCAGCAUCCUUAAUUCUCAUCCAAUUGGCAAACAUUUAAAAGAAAGUUUUGCAUUUUUUUAAAGUUCUUCAAAAACAGGUUUGUAAUGGUCAUAUGUUCACCUGCCACAUGGAGGUUGCCCCAGGUGCCACUAGCUGUGCUGCCUAUCAUCGUCCUUCCUCAUUCAUGUGUCAUUAUAGUAAAGGCCAGUUAAAUCUGUGAUAACAUUGCAGUAUACAAAUUGAAAAUCUUUCACUCAUCAAGCAAUUACAUCACAUAGGUAAGACUCCCACACAAGAGCUAAACCAAAAACAUGAUCAUUUUGUGGGAACAUCCCACAUAUUAUCAUGCAUUUCUGCAACGCUCGCUAUUCAGCUCCCUUUUCACCAUCACGUGCGCUAAUCAAUCACAUUGCUUCAAACGUUCGCAUUUAUACAGCGCUUGCGGUUUUGGUAGAUCCACAAUUGGUAGAUUCAUUAAAUUGGUGCACCCCAUUUCCUAUAUAUGCUGGAUAAUGGGAAGUUUAAUGUAUAUUGUUUUUUAAACAAAUUUAAUUUUUCAUUAUGACUGAAUAAACUGUGGAUUAAUUUUAUGAUUAUUUUAUAGAAUAACUGUAACAGCAGUACACCGUGUUAAAAAAUUGAAGCAGAAAAUGACUUUAUAAGGGUUGUACCACUGGCAGUAAUAAUCUGAAACAACAGCCAAUUCUUAUUGCUGGGUGCACCGUACAUAAGUAGUUGCUGCUGCUUCAAAGGCGCAGGGACGUGGCUGGGCGUGCCACUGCAACCUGGUGUGGAUGUGGCCGCUGAUGUCGCUGUGUUACUUUGGAGCACCGCAGCGAAGGACGGACAUGGGGUGAUGAGGUGAUGGGAUUAGCUGUCUUUCCUUCCACCAACUGGCAGCUGCAGCAUGCCAGCUUUGAAGAUGUGUUCCCCUUUUCUGGACACUUCUUAUAUAGAUGGCCGCCCCUGCACCACAAGCAACGUGGAGGCUGUUUGCAGUUCGCCCAAAUGCGGCCGAACUUUGGCAGUUCUACCAGUGCAUUCUGAGCAUCCUGAACAUUAUUUGCCUCUACUCUGACUGCAAUGUGGUAAAGGCUCAGCAGUCUGAAAAUUUCUUGUGAUUUUGUCUUCUUAGGCAAAGUUGAGGCACAAGGGGAGGUUAACAUUACUUGUUCCCUCUGCAUUUGACCGACUGGUGGCUGUGAUCUGUUUAAAGCUAAUAAUGUCAAAACGCAGGAUCACCAGUCCGUCAGAUACUUUCUGAGCUCCAAAGAAACAUCUUUGGGUCACAUGGUCAGUUGGUGAAUAAAUUAUGUGCAACUAUUAUGGUAUAUUAUAUGCAAAUUGGUAAGUAUUGAAUUUGAUUUCAUGUCGUGAAUUGGGAGUCGAAGUUUAUGCUCGAAGUGACAUUUCCAUGUUGUACAGGGAGAUCGAAAAGUCACGCAUAUCAAACUAAAAGUUGUCAUAAAUUGUAUUGCAGUGAAUAUAAUUAUAUCUCCUACCGCUAGAUGGUACUGUUGGAGUACUAACGAGUAGAAACGCGACCUAUCGUGUAUGGGUCGUACGACGUCUGCAGUAUAGCUUUGUUUAUUGCGUGACAGACAUGUCGUUUUCCCAAGAACGAGUUUUCAUUGUGGAACAUUAUUUCGCCAGUCGUUCUUAUGAACGUGUCGCAGACGAGUUUCGUCAACAAUAUUCAGAUUCUGCAGCUCCUAACAAUUCGACGAUAACGAGAACUAUCAACCGAUUUCGGGAAUGUGGAUCAGUUUCAGAUAGGAAGAGAUCCGGGAGACCGGCCAUUUUGACUGAGGCUGAGCUGGCUGACGUGGAGAAAAUGUUGCAACGUUCCCCUUCAAAAAGCCUGAGGAGACUAUCAGUGCAAUCAGGGAUUUCGUACGGCCUUUUCUUACCGCAACGGCAGUUCCGCCCUUACUGCCCUAGUGGCGGUCGAUUCUACAAAAGUGAUGUGCAGGGGACGGUACAAUCUGCUUUCUUGCUGCGGGUGUCUUCUGAGUCUUCUCUAGCCGUUGAUUGGUAGCGGCUUCCAAACAGCAGA